GACCUGCGGAGGGAUCAUUACUGAGUUUACGCUCUAUAACCCUUUGUGAACAUACCUAUAACUGUUGCUUCGGCGGGUAGGGUCUCCGCGACCCUCCCGGCCUCCCGCCUCCGGGCGGGUCGGCGCCCGCCGGAGGAUAACCAAACUCUGAUUUAACGACGUUUCUUCUGAGUGGUACAAGCAAAUAAUCAAAACUUUUAACAACGGAUCUCUUGGUUCUGGCAUCGAUGAAGAACGCAGCGAAAUGCGAUAAGUAAUGUGAAUUGCAGAAUUCAGUGAAUCAUCGAAUCUUUGAACGCACAUUGCGCCCGCCAGCAUUCUGGCGGGCAUGCCUGUUCGAGCGUCAUUUCAACCCUCAAGCUCUGCUUGGUGUUGGGGCCCUACAGCUGAUGUAGGCCCUCAAAGGUAGUGGCGGACCCUCCCGGAGCCUCCUUUGCGUAGUAACUUUACGUCUCGCACUGGGAUCCGGAGGGACUCUUGCCGUAAAACCCCCCAAUUCUCCAAAGGUUGACCUCGGAUCAGGUAGGAAUACCCGCUGAACUUAAGC
This 547-nucleotide ribosomal RNA is filed under the name Colletotrichum gloeosporioides. Its description in RNAcentral is "eukaryotic LSU rRNA". The stretch from base 193 to 346 matches the Rfam family "5.8S ribosomal RNA". Lineage: Eukaryota; Fungi; Ascomycota; Sordariomycetes; Glomerellales; Glomerellaceae. The record is from RNAcentral.